This is a long non-coding RNA of Passer domesticus (house sparrow), 1667 nucleotides long. RefSeq lists it as uncharacterized. Lineage: Eukaryota; Metazoa; Chordata; Aves; Passeriformes; Passeridae. The record is from RefSeq and is a predicted model, not a curated record. The transcript has 2 exons.
GGCCCCGGCGGGAGGCGGUGCUGGGCAGGACGGGCAGACCGGCGGCGUGAGUGACUGCGGCCGGCCUGCAGGCUCUUCCCUUAGAGCCGCCCUUGUUAUCGCCCAAGGUUGCUCGCGUUAGCGUCUAGAUUGCCUUGUGCUGCUUCCCACAGAAAUUGCUCCAGGCCGUGAUUUACAGUAAGAAACAAACGGGAAUGAACUGAAUACGAACUUCUGCUUAGAAGUCUUGCUCUAAGCAUCUCGUUGGCCUGAGGCCAAGGGAGAACACGAUGGGUACCAAUACAAAACCAGGUGUUACCUUGUCCCUGUGUGCAAGGUGCUACUUUUGCAUUUAAAAGCUUGAAAGUACAGCGUGGUUCUCAUGCGUCAUAGCAACCUCAGACAGGACACGGGUGUUUAUCACCUCUGUUAUCAGAGUGCACCAGAGUCCAGUCACAGACUAGGAUGCCAUUUUGCAGGAUGCUGUGCAAACAGAACAAAGAGCACAUGUCCUAAGAACAUAACAAAGACAGCAGUUAGACACAGGUAGAGAGCAGAAUGCAAGCAGACAAUGAAAUUAUACCGGUCAGCAUCUCAGUGGCCAAAGCUAUUACGGAUGCAUUGCCAAGAAAUGAUGGGAUUUCGAGAACAAAAUAUGCCCAAGGGGAGUUUUACUGAAGUGUGUGAAGACAAGACGUGUUUAAAAAUUAAGCAAAUGGACAACAGAGAAAGUUUCUGAUUCUGAAGGCAAAGUUGUCAAGACAAAUUUCAGCUAGAAAUACUGGGAUAGAGAAUGAAAAUGAAUGCUGUGUGUCAGCAACUGGAAACCUGUGUAGGAUUUACUUGUGUCUGGCCAUUUAUCCUGAAUUCCUUCUGCAUUCACAUCCAGCUUCCACUAUUGCCUUUUUCCUCACCUUAUAGUUCUCUUUCUGUAUUUGCCUCACCUUUCUCUUUCUUUCUCUAUUGAAAUUUCUUUCUUCCUUAUCUCUUUAUGCUUCUCAUGCAGUAAAUUAUGAAUGAAAUGUAUGGAUUGCACAUCUGACAGUGAGGCAUGCCACACACAGACAGCAGGCCUGGGUUCAUUUGCAUUAAGUUAGACAUCUACAGAGACUAGGAGCGCAGACCCAGCUCUCAGCAGGAGAAACAAACUCAUGCUGAAGGUGAUUGAUCUGAUGCUAAGACAAGAAUACAAUUCUCUCACUUAUGGGGACUAUUUCUUUCUAUUGACUAUAAAGAGUGCUUUGCACCAGUAGUCCAGAAGUGGAUGUUUAAAAUCACAGAAUUACAUGAGGUGUCCCACUUGUGCUUGAACCUGACAUUAUGUAGAAAUCUCUUGAUGGGAAGCAGUGGAGAAACCUGUCUCCUUGUGCCCUUUUCCACAGCACACACUUUCUACUGUGUAAACAAACAUUAUUUCCCCACUUUUGGAAAGUAAUUAUUUUGAAACUAUUGCUUUCUCUUGACCUUUCCCCUGUCACAGCCUACUUUCUCCGUACCGACUGCGCUAAACAGGACUUCCAGUGAUGGUUACAAAGGGCCGAGAUAUGUUGUAAUCCCUCAGGAACCAUUCUUGGAGAGGACCGUUUCUAAUCAGGAGGAGGAAAUGCAACUGCCAGCCAUAAAUGUUAUCCCUAACAAAAGAGUAAUCUUUCUGGCUGUUGUGUUCCAGACCUUCUGCUUCAAGGUCA